GAUGAACGCUGGCGGCGUGCCUAAUACAUGCAAGUCGAGCGAACAGACGAGGAGCUUGCUCCUCUGACGUUAGCGGCGGACGGGUGAGUAACACGUGGAUAACCUACCUAUAAGACUGGGAUAACUUCGGGAAACCGGAGCUAAUACCGGCUCAUAUAUUGAACCGCAUGGUUCAAUAGUGAAAGACGGUUUUGCUGUCACUUAUAGAUGGAUCCGCGCCGCAUUAGCUAGUUGGUAAGGUAACGGCUUACCAAGGCGACGAUGCGUAGCCGACCUGAGAGGGUGAUCGGCCACACUGGAACUGAGACACGGUCCAGACUCCUACGGGAGGCAGCAGUGGGGAAUAUUCGACAAAGGGCGAAAGCCUGACGGAGCAACGCCGCGUGAGUGAUGAAGGUCUUCGGAUCGUAAAGCUCUGUUAUUAGGGAAGAACAAAUGUGUAAGUAACUAUGCACGUCUUGACGGUACCUAAUCAGAAAGCCACGGCUAACUACGUG
Molecule: ribosomal RNA, 497 nt
Filed under: uncultured bacterium
Lineage: Bacteria
Description: partial 16S ribosomal RNA
Rfam family: Bacterial small subunit ribosomal RNA
Source: RNAcentral